CCUACGGGUGGCAGCAGUGGGGAAUAUUGGACAAUGGGGGCAACCCUGAUCCAGCCAUGCCGCGUGUGUGAAGAAGGCCCUCGGGUUGUAAAGCACUUUCAGUGAGGAAGAACGCCUGGUGGUUAAUACCCAUCAGGAAAGACAUCACUCACAGAAGAAGCACCGGCUAACUCCGUGCCAGCAGCCGCGGUAAUACGGAGGGUGCGAGCGUUAAUCGGAAUUACUGGGCGUAAAGCGCGCGUAGGUGGCUUGAUAAGCCGGUUGUGAAAGCCCCGGGCUCAACCUGGGAACGGCAUCCGGAACUGUCAGGCUAGAGUGCAGGAGAGGAAGGUAGAAUUCCCGGUGUAGCGGUGAAAUGCGUAGAGAUCGGGAGGAAUACCAGUGGCGAAGGCGGCCUUCUGGACUGACACUGACACUGAGGUGCGAAAGCGUGGGUAGCAAACAGGAUUAGAUACCCGAGUAGUC
Molecule: ribosomal RNA, 465 nt
Filed under: Vreelandella stevensii
Lineage: Bacteria; Pseudomonadati; Pseudomonadota; Gammaproteobacteria; Oceanospirillales; Halomonadaceae
Description: partial 16S ribosomal RNA
Rfam family: Bacterial small subunit ribosomal RNA
Source: RNAcentral